GACGAACGCUGGCGGCGUGCUUAACACAUGCAAGUCGAACGGAAAGGCCCUGCUUGCAGGGUACUCGAGUGGCGAACGGGUGAGUAACACGCGGGUGAUUUGCCCUGCACUUCGGGAUAAGCCUGGGAAACUGGGUCUAAUACCGGAUAGGAGCCAUUUUUAGUGUGAUGGUUGGAAAGUUUUUUCGGUGUAGGAUGAGCUGGCGGCCUAUCAGCUUGUUGGUGGGGUGAUGGCCUACCAAGGCGGCGGCGGGUAGCCGGCCUGAGGGGGUGGCCCGCCACCUUGGGACUGACGUGCGGCCCAGGCUCCUACGGGAGGCAGCAGUGGGGAAUAUUGCCGGAGGGGCGCAAGGCUGAUGCUGCGAGGCCGCGGAGGGGAUGACGGCCUUCGGGGUGUAAACCACUUUCGCUAGGGACGGAGCUUUUUGUGACGGUACCUAGAUAAGAAGCACCGGCUAACUACGUG
Molecule: ribosomal RNA, 465 nt
Filed under: uncultured bacterium
Lineage: Bacteria
Description: partial 16S ribosomal RNA
Rfam family: Bacterial small subunit ribosomal RNA
Source: RNAcentral